This 245-nucleotide ribosomal RNA is filed under the name Klebsiella pneumoniae. Its description in RNAcentral is "partial 23S ribosomal RNA". It matches the Rfam family "Bacterial large subunit ribosomal RNA", at positions 1523 to 1765 of the family's 2925-position model. Lineage: Bacteria; Pseudomonadati; Pseudomonadota; Gammaproteobacteria; Enterobacterales; Enterobacteriaceae. The record is from RNAcentral.
GGCUGAUUGUCCAGGCAAAUCCGGAUAAUCAAGGCUGAGGUGUGAUGACGUGGCACUACGGUGCUGAAGUAACAAAAGCCCUGCUUCCAGGAAAAGCCUCUCAGCAUCAGGUAACAUUAAAUCGUACCCCAAACCGACACAGGUGGUCAGGUAGAGAAUACCAAGGCGCUUGAGAGAACUCGGGUGAAGGAACUAGGCAAAAUGGUGCCGUAACUUCGGGAGAAGGCACGCUGGUGUGUAGGUGA